UACGGAAGGCAGCAGUGGGGAAUAUUGCACAAUGGGCGCAAGCCUGAUGCAGCCAUGCCGCGUGUAUGAAAAAGGCCUUCGGGUUGUAAAGUACUUUCAGUCGUGAGGAAGGUGUUAAGGUUAAUAACCUUAGCAAUUGACGUUAGCGACAGAAGAAGCACCGGCUAACUCCGUGCCAGCAGCCGCGGUAAUACGGAGGGUGCGAGCGUUAAUCGGAAUUACUGGGCGUAAAGGGCACGCAGGCGGUUAAUUAAGUUGGAUGUGAAAUCCCCGGGCUUAACCUGGGAAUGGCAUUCAAGACUGGUUAGCUAGAGUCUUGUAGAGGGGGUAGAAUUCCAUGUGUAGCGGUGAAAUGCGUAGAGAUGUGGAGGAAUACCGGUGGCGAAGGCGGCCCCUGGACAAAGACUGACGCUCAUGUGCGAAAGCGUGGGGAGCAAACAGGGAUUUUAGAUACC
Molecule: ribosomal RNA, 455 nt
Filed under: uncultured bacterium
Lineage: Bacteria
Description: bacterial SSU rRNA
Rfam family: Bacterial small subunit ribosomal RNA
Source: RNAcentral